GAAAAAUGAUGAUGAUUUGAUUGUCUUCCCGGUCUUAGUAGCACUUACUUUGUGCUAGGUGCGGAUUGACAUUUUUAACAUGUUGAUUC
Picea glauca (white spruce) is the source of this 89-nucleotide non-coding RNA. Lineage: Eukaryota; Viridiplantae; Streptophyta; Pinopsida; Pinales; Pinaceae. The record is from Rfam.